UACGUAGGCAGCAAGCGUUGUUCGGAAUUACUGGGCGUAAAGAGUGUGUAGGCGGUGCUCCAAGUCUGGUGUGAAAUCUCCCGGCUUAACUGGGAGGGUGCAUUAGAAACUGGAAUGCUAGAGGAUGGGAGAGGUAAGCGGAAUUCCUGGUGUAGCGGUGAAAUGCGUAGAUAUCAGGAGGAACACCUGUGGCGAAAGCGGCUCACUGGACCAUAACUGACGCUGAUGCACGAAAGCUAGGGGAGCAAACAGG
Molecule: ribosomal RNA, 253 nt
Filed under: uncultured bacterium
Lineage: Bacteria
Description: partial 16S ribosomal RNA
Rfam family: Bacterial small subunit ribosomal RNA
Source: RNAcentral